Molecule: ribosomal RNA, 482 nt
Filed under: uncultured bacterium
Lineage: Bacteria
Description: bacterial SSU rRNA
Rfam family: Bacterial small subunit ribosomal RNA
Source: RNAcentral
GCUCUCUUCGGACAGUGCAUAGAGUGGCGCACGGGUGAGUAACACGUAAGUAAUCUACCUUCGAGUGGGGAAUAACCCGGGGAAACCCGAGCUAAUACCGCAUAACGCAGCGGCAUCGCAAGAUGACAGUUGUUAAAGGAGCAAUCCGCUUGAAGAGGAGCUUGCGGCAGAUUAGCUAGUUGGUAAGGUAACGGCUUACCAAGGCUACGAUCUGUAUCCGGUCUAAGAGGACGGUCGGACACACUGACACUGAAUAACGGGUCAGACUCCUACGGGAGGCAGCAGUCGGGAAUUUUGGGCAAUGGGCGAAAGCCUGACCCAGCNACGCCGCGUGAAGGAUGAAGUAUUUCGGUAUGUAAACUUCGAANGAAUAGGAAGAAUAAAUGACGGUGCUAUGUUAUAAGCUCCGGCUAACUACGUGCCWRCAGCCGCGGGUAAUACGUAGGGAGCAAAGCGUUGUUCUGAUUUACUGGGCGUAAAGG